RNAcentral lists this ribosomal RNA (254 nucleotides) under uncultured bacterium. RNAcentral's name for it is "partial 16S ribosomal RNA". It matches the Rfam family "Bacterial small subunit ribosomal RNA", at positions 524 to 776 of the family's 1533-position model. The record is from RNAcentral.
UACGUAGGGGGCAAGCGUUGUCCGGAUUUACUGGGCGUAAAGAGCGCGUAGGCGGACGUUUAAGUGUGGCCUGAAAGCCCCCGGCUCAACCGGGGAUCCGGGUUGCAAACUGGACGUCUUGAGGGGGGGAUAGGGGAAGGUGGAAUUCCUGGUGUAGCGGUGAAUGCGUAGAGAUCAGGAGGAACACCCGUGGCUAAGGCGGCUCUCUAGUACGGUACUGACGCUGAGACGCGAAAGCGUGGGGAGCGAACAGG